AGUGAACGCUGGCGGUAGGCCUAACACAUGCAAGUCGAACGGCAGCACAGUAAGAGCUUGCUCUUACGGGUGGCGAGUGGCGGACGGGUGAGGAAUACAUCGGAAUCUACUUUUUCGUGGGGGAUAACGUAGGGAAACUUACGCUAAUACCGCAUACGACCUACGGGUGAAAGCAGGGGAUCUUCGGACCUUGCGCGAUUGAAUGAGCCGAUGUCGGAUUAGCUAGUUGGCGGGGUAAAGGCCCACCAAGGCGACGAUCCGUAGCUGGUCUGAGAGGAUGAUCAGCCAAAAUGGAACUGAGACACGGUUCAGACUCCCAAGGGAGGCAGCAGGGGGGAAUAUUGGAAAAUGGGGGCAAGGCUGAUCCAGCCAUACCGCGUGGGUGAAGAAGGCCUUCGGGUUGUAAAGGCCUUUUGUUGGGAAAGAAAAGCAGCAGGUUAAUACCCCGCUGUUCUGAAGGUACCCAAAGAAUAAGCACCGGCUAACUUCGUG
This 492-nucleotide ribosomal RNA is filed under the name uncultured bacterium. RNAcentral describes it as "partial 16S ribosomal RNA". It matches the Rfam family "Bacterial small subunit ribosomal RNA", at positions 29 to 507 of the family's 1533-position model. The record is from RNAcentral.